GCUGGCGGCAGGCCUAACACAUGCAAGUCGAACGGAGUUAUAUUGUAGCUUGCUAUGGUAUAACUUAGUGGCAGACGGGUGAGUAAUGUAUAGGAAUCUACCUAGUAGUACGGAAUAAUUGUUGGAAACGGCAACUAAUACCGUAUACGCCCUACGGGGGAAAAAUUUAUUGCUAUUAGAUGAGCCUAUAUUAGAUUAGCUAGUUGGUGGAGUAAUAGCCUACCAAGGCAAUGAUCUAUAGCUGAUCUGAGAGGAUGAUCAGCCACACUGGAACUGAGAUACGGUCCAGACUCCUACGGGAGGCAGCAGUGGGGAAUAUUGGACAAUGGGCGAAAGCCUGAUCCAGCCAUGCCGCAUGAGUGAAGAAGGCCUUUGGGUUGUAAAGCUCUUUUAGUGAGGAAGAUAAUGACGGUACUCACAGAAGAAGUCCUGGCUAACUCCGUGCCAGCAGCCGCGGUAAUACGGAGAGGGCUAGCGUUAUUCGGAAUUAUUGGGCGUAAAGGGCGCGUAGGCGGAUUAGUAAGUUAAAAGUGAAAUCCCAAGGCUCAACCUUGGAAUUGCUUUUAAAACUGCUAAUCUAGAGAUUGAAAGAGGAUAGAGGAAUUCCUAGUGUAGAGGUGAAAUUCGUAAAUAUUAGGAGGAACACCAGUGGCGAAGGCGUCUAUCUGGUUCAAAUCUGACGCUGAGGCGCGAAGGCGUGGGGAGCAAACAGGAUUAGAUACCCUGGUAGUCCACGCUGUAAACGAUGAAUGUUAAAUAUGGGAAGUUUUACUUUCUGUAUUACAGCUAACGCGUUAAACAUUCCGCCUGGGGACUACGGUCGCAAGAUUAAAACUCAAAGGAAUUGACGGG
RNAcentral lists this ribosomal RNA (852 nucleotides) under uncultured bacterium. Its description in RNAcentral is "bacterial SSU rRNA". It matches the Rfam family "Bacterial small subunit ribosomal RNA", at positions 35 to 917 of the family's 1533-position model. The record is from RNAcentral.